GGAGGAAAGCAGGGGAUCGUAAGACCCUGCGCUUUUGGAGCGGCCGAUGCCUGAUUAGCUAGUUGGUGGGGUAAAGGCUUACCAAGGCAACGAUCAGUAGUUGGUCUGAGAGGACGGCCAGCCACACUGGGACUGAGACACGGCCCAGACUCCUACGGGAGGCAGCAGUGGGGAAUUUUGGACAAUGGGCGCAAGCCUGAUCCAGCAAUGCCGCGUGAGUGAAGAAGGCCUUCGGGUUGUAAAGCUCUUUCAGUCGAGAAGAAAAGAUUGUGACGAAUAAUCACAAUUCAUGACGGUAUCGACAGAAGAAGCACCGGCUAACUACGUGCCAGCAGCCGCGGUAAUACGUAGGGUGCAAGCGUUAAUCGGAAUUACUGGGCGUAAAGGGUGCGCAGGCGGCUUUGUAAGUCAGAUGUGAAAUCCCCGGGCUUAACCUGGGAAUUGCGUUUGAAACUACAAAGCUAGA
RNAcentral lists this ribosomal RNA (466 nucleotides) under uncultured ammonia-oxidizing beta proteobacterium. RNAcentral describes it as "bacterial SSU rRNA". It matches the Rfam family "Bacterial small subunit ribosomal RNA", at positions 198 to 645 of the family's 1533-position model. The record is from RNAcentral. Lineage: Bacteria; Pseudomonadati; Pseudomonadota; Betaproteobacteria.